This 510-nucleotide ribosomal RNA is filed under the name uncultured bacterium. Its description in RNAcentral is "bacterial SSU rRNA". It matches the Rfam family "Bacterial small subunit ribosomal RNA", at positions 19 to 518 of the family's 1533-position model. The record is from RNAcentral.
AUGGCUCAGGAAUGAACGCUAGCUACAGGCUUAACACAUGCAAGUCGAGGGGCAGCAUGAGCUUAGCUUGCUAAGCUUGAUGGCGACCGGCGCACGGGUGAGUAACGCGUAUCCAACCUCCCCUUAGUAGGGCAUAGCCCGGUGAAAAUCGGAUUAAUACCCUAUGUUCUUCACAGCGGACAUCUAACGUGAAGCAAAGGUUCACCGCUAAGGGAUGGGGAUGCGUCUGAUUAGGUAGUCGGCGGGGUAACGGCCCACCGAGCCAUCGAUCAGUAGGGGUUCUGAGAGGAAGGUCCCCCACAUUGGAACUGGGACACGGUCCAAACUCCUACGGGAGGCAGCAGUGAGGAAUAUUGGUCAAUGGGCGCGAGCCUGAACCAGCCAAGUAGCGUGCAGGAUGACGGCCCUAUGGGUUGUAAACUGCUUUUAUGCGGGGAUAAAGUCACCCACGUGUGGGUGUUUGCAGGUACCGCAUGAAUAAGGACCGGCUAAUUCCGUGCCAGCCGCGGC